UUUCCCCUCCUCCAGUCAAAAAAUAAAAUAAAAUCCAUCGGUAGCAUUUUGCAAAACCAACUCAGUAAAAUUAGAAAAUUUUGGUUCAAAUUCAAGCUCAACCCACGUUCGGUAUAUGACUAGAAGCUGUACUACUCACUCACAGAUUUGAUUUCACAGUUACGAGUUCACCUGUGUUUAUCGUAAUUGAUUUGUUGAGCAUGUUUCGAAGAAUUUUGGAAGGCUACAGGUGAGUUUGUUAGGCCCAUAGGGGCAUCCCACAAAUGUGGCUACCCGCGGAAGACCGUCCGGGACGGUGGCUGAUAUCCUGACUAUCCUAACAUUAGAGUUUGGUCCUCACUAGUAGCAAAAAUGUGAAUUUCUUCACCAUCGGUUGAUGAUUAUUUCAUUUUUGUGUUUCAAAUGAAUUGGGAAUUGUCAAGCUUUAUAUUUAUAUGCUUCUGAAUUUUACAUGCUCAACUCUUUUAGCUUGAUUUACUUUUCGUUCGUCGUUGGUACAUUAUUUCGUUACCCCUACUGGGCUGUGGCUCAUCCCAUAUUGAUUUUGUUUUCCAUAAAGUACGAAGCGAGGUUGAGGCAGUAAGCUUGGGAUGAGCUUGCAGCCAGGAGCUUGAGCAAAAGUUAGUAUUUUUGCUUGUCUAUGAUGUGUAUAUCACGGGGUUAUCUGGGUAGUUUAUCUUGCUGUUAUCCCAUGUUAUUUUGAUGUGUUUUGCUGUUGUAUAUAUGAUGGGAUCUGGUAGAAAGUAUUUGGUUAUGCCGGCAUCAAACAGUCUGCAUUAUUUUGGGUCUACUGCAUGUAAAUCUUUUCUUGAUGUCAUUUCAAAAAAGUGCUGGCAUGUCUUCCAUUAUGCAAUAUUAACUCUCAGAUUUCAGUUCUUUUCUACUACUAUGCUUUCAAAUUUAAGUAUCAAUUUGGAACUUGGGUAAUCCAUGUUUGAACUGUUUUUGGACUAUGAUAGUGUAGAAGUUAAACAAGGCGUCUUUACUUUCAGUUAGGAACCAUUCUUAUGUUCAUUUUCCAGUUAGUUCUAAAUAGUAUGUCAUUUGAAAAAUACUGUUGUAUGAUUAAAUUUUCAUUUGGAAUCUGCUGCGUGCUAAAUGAGUAUCUUUUUGUAAAAUGAUGUCUUAAAACGUCUGUAAGGGUAAUGGAUAUUAAUCAAUGUUUAUAUAAUGGCUUUAUAUGAUAAAUGUACUAAGUGGAUUUGUCUGAUUUCAAAGUUAUUAUGAGAUGUGGCUUUGGUGUUGUUGGUCAAGAGAUUUGCAGAUACUCUUUGAUUUAUUUUAAUGACCAUGUGAAUUUAAAUUUGAAAUUCUUUGUUUUAUCCAUUAAUCGUUGAAUGAUUUUCUCCCA
Molecule: long non-coding RNA, 1351 nt
Organism: Papaver somniferum (opium poppy)
Lineage: Eukaryota; Viridiplantae; Streptophyta; Magnoliopsida; Ranunculales; Papaveraceae
Exons: 2
Source: RefSeq, a predicted model, not a curated record